UUUUUCUGAUUCCAUAUAUAAGUGAUCUCAUAUGGUAUUUUUCUUUCUCUUUCUGGCUUACUUCACUUAGAAUGAAAUUCUCCAGGAACAUCCAUGUUGCUGCAAAUGGUGUUAAGUUGUCAUCUUUUAUGGCUGAAUAGUAUUCCAUUGUAUAAAUAUACCACCUCUUCUUUAUCCAG
Vicugna pacos (alpaca) is the source of this 179-nucleotide non-coding RNA. The record is from RefSeq and is a predicted model, not a curated record. Lineage: Eukaryota; Metazoa; Chordata; Mammalia; Artiodactyla; Camelidae.